Molecule: ribosomal RNA, 497 nt
Filed under: uncultured bacterium
Lineage: Bacteria
Description: partial 16S ribosomal RNA
Rfam family: Bacterial small subunit ribosomal RNA
Source: RNAcentral
GAUGAACGCUGGCGGCGUGCCUAAUACAUGCAAGUCGAGCGCACAGACGAGGAGCUUGCUCCUCUGACGUUAGCGGCGGACGGGUGAGUAACACGUGGAUAACCUACCUAUAAGACUGGGAUAACUUCGGGAAACCGGAGCUAAUACCGGAUAAUAUAUUGAACCGCAUGGUUCAAUAGUGAAAGACGGUUUUGCUGUCACUUAUAGUGGAAUCCCCGCCGCAUUAGCUAUUUGUUAAGGUAACGGCUUACCAAGGCGACGAUGCUUAGCCGACCUGAGAGGGUGACCGGCCACACUGGAACUGAGACACGGUCCAGACUCCUACGGGAGGCAGCAGUAGGGAAUCUUCCGCAAUGGGCGAAAGCCUGACGGAGCAACGCCGCGGGAGUGAUGAAGUUCUUCGGAUCGUAAAACUCUGUUAUUAGGGAAGAACAAAUGUGUAAGUAACUAUGCACGUCUUGACGGUACCUAAUCAGAAAGCCACGGCUAACUACGUG